GCAUCAUGAUUUACAUUUGAGUGAGUGGCGAACUGGUGAGUAACACGUGGGAAACCUGCCCAGAAGCGGGGGAUAACACCUGGAAACAGAUGCUAAUACCGCAUAACAACUUGGACCGCAUGGUCCGAGUUUGAAAGAUGGCUUCGGCUAUCACUUUUGGAUGGUCCCGCGGCGUAUUAGCUAGAUGGUGGGGUAACGGCUCACCAUGGCAAUGAUACGUAGCCGACCUGAGAGGGUAAUCGGCCACAUUGGGACUGAGACACGGCCCAAACUCCUACGGGAGGCAGCAGUAGGGAAUCUUCCACAAUGGACGAAAGUCUGAUGGAGCAACGCCGCGUGAGUGAAGAAGGGUUUCGGCUCGUAAAACUCUGUUGUUAAAGAAGAACAUAUCUGAGAGUAACUGUUCAGGUAUUGACGGUAUUUAACCAGAAAGCCACGGCUAACUACGUGCCAGCAGCCGCGGUAAUACGUAGGUGGCAAGCGUUGUCCGGAUUUAUUGGGCGUAAAGCGAGCGCAGGCGGUUUUUUAAGUCUGAUGUGAAAGCCUUCGGCUCAACCGAAGAAGUGCAUCGGAAACUGGGAAACUUGAGUGCAGAAGAGGACAGUGGAACUCCAUGUGUAGCGGUGAAAUGCGUAGAUAUAUGGAAGAACACCAGUGGCGAA
This 662-nucleotide ribosomal RNA is filed under the name Lactiplantibacillus plantarum. Its description in RNAcentral is "bacterial SSU rRNA". It matches the Rfam family "Bacterial small subunit ribosomal RNA", at positions 69 to 719 of the family's 1533-position model. The record is from RNAcentral. Lineage: Bacteria; Bacillati; Bacillota; Bacilli; Lactobacillales; Lactobacillaceae.